Molecule: ribosomal RNA, 120 nt
Filed under: Castor canadensis (American beaver)
Lineage: Eukaryota; Metazoa; Chordata; Mammalia; Rodentia; Castoridae
Source: RNAcentral
GUCUAUGGCCAUACCACCCUGAAUGCACCUGAUCUCGUCUGAUCUCAGACACUAAGCAGGGUCAGACCUGGUUAGUACUUGGAUGGAAGACAGAUCUUCAGAAGAGACUGCUCAGAGACA